This 1210-nucleotide ribosomal RNA is filed under the name Xylaria sp. ARIZ FL1889. RNAcentral's name for it is "eukaryotic LSU rRNA". The stretch from base 679 to 1210 matches the Rfam family "Eukaryotic large subunit ribosomal RNA", at positions 1 to 543 of the family's 3401-position model. Lineage: Eukaryota; Fungi; Ascomycota; Sordariomycetes; Xylariales; Xylariaceae. The record is from RNAcentral.
CGCCAGAUAUAGUCUGGUCCGUAAGCAAAUCGACUGCCUGCCUGUGUAACAGGCAGGUAAGCUUUUGUCGCGGGGUCCCGGAUCAACCCGGGCUAGAUAGCCACUUAACUAUAUACUUUUUAUAAAAUCUGUGAACUUACUAGGUUGGAUUCUCGCCAGAGAUAGUCUGGUUUCUGCUUCGCAGAUCGCCUACCCGUGACACCUGUCACAGGCAGGUAUGCUUCUGCCGCGGGUCCGUAAGUAAAUCAUCUGUUUCGCAAGGGACGGCGAUUUACCUGUGGAAGAGGUCCGCUAACUAUAUUCUUAGUAUAGUUUGUUCACUAGAUCAAACAUUCUGAAUAAAAACUUAAACUAGUUAAAACUUUCAACAACGGAUCUCUUGGUUCUGGCAUCGAUGAAGAACGCAGCGAAAUGCGAUAAGUAAUGUGAAUUGCAGAAUUCAGUGAAUCAUCGAAUCUUUGAACGCACAUUGCGCCCAUUAGUAUUCUAGUGGGCAUGCCUGUUCGAGCGUCAUUUCAACCCUUAAGCCCCUGUUGCUUAGCGUUGGGAGCCUACAGCCUGCUGUAGCUCCUUAAAGGUAGUGGCGGAGUCGGUUCACACUCUAGACGUAGUAAAAUCUUUAUCUCGCCUAUGGAUGAGCCGGCGCCUUGCCGUAAAACCCCUAAUCUUUCACAAGGUUGACCUCGGAUCAGGUAGGAAUACCCGCUGAACUUAAGCAUAUCAAUAAGCGGAGGAAAAGAAACCAACAGGGAUUGCCCUAGUAACGGCGAGUGAAGCGGCAACAGCUCAAAUUUGAAAUCUGGCCUUCGGGUCCGAGUUGUAAUUUGCAGAGGAUGCUUUGGGCGCGGUGCCUUCCGAGUUCCCUGGAACGGGACGCCUUAGAGGGUGAGAGCCCCGUACGGUUGGACACCAAGCCUCUGUAAAGCUCCUUCGACGAGUCGAGUAGUUUGGGAAUGCUGCUCUAAAUGGGAGGUAAAUUUCUUCUAAAGCUAAAUAUUGGCCAGAGACCGAUAGCGCACAAGUAGAGUGAUCGAAAGAUGAAAAGCACUUUGAAAAGAGGGUUAAAUAGCACGUGAAAUUGUUGAAAGGGAAGCGUUUGCGACCAGACCUUUUCCCAGCGGAUCAUCCGGUGUUCUCACCGGUGCACUUCGCUGGGUUGAGGCCAGCAUCGGUUUCCGCAGGGGGAUAAAAGCCUGGGGAACGUAGCUCC